This 103-nucleotide ribosomal RNA is filed under the name Octodon degus (degu). Lineage: Eukaryota; Metazoa; Chordata; Mammalia; Rodentia; Octodontidae. The record is from RNAcentral.
GUCUAUAGCCAUACCACCCAGAAUGUAUCCAAUCUCAUCUGAACUCAGAAGAUAAGCAGGAUCAGGCCUGGUUAGUUGGAUGGGAGAAAAGAAAAUGUAGGCA